UUGGAGGGCAAGUCUGGUGCCAGCAGCCGCGGUAAUUCCAGCUCCAAUAGCGUAUAUUUAAGUUGUUGCAGUUAAAAAGCUCGUAGUUGAAUUUCGGGAUCAAUUUGUUGGUCGUGCCUCGGUACGUACUGGCAUUAUUGGUUUCUACCUUCUGAAGAACCUUGAUGUCAUUAAUUUGGUGUCUUGGGGAAUCAGGACUGUUACUUUGAAAAAAUUAGAGUGUUUAAAGCAGGCAUACGCUUGAAUACAUUAGCAUGGAAUAAUGAAAUAGGACGUUUGAUUCUAUUUUGUUGGUUUCUAGGAUCGACGUAAUGAUUAAUAGGGAUAGUUGGGGGCAUUAGUAUUCAAUUGUCAGAGGUGAAAUUCUUGGAUUUAUUGAAGACUAACUACUGCGAAAGCAUUUGCCAAGGAUGUUUUCAUUAAUCAAGAACGAAAGUUAGGGGAUCGAAGACGAUCAGAUACCGUCGUAGUCUUAACCAUAAACUAUGCCGACUAGGGAUCGGAUGAUGUUAAUUUUUUAAUGACUCAUUCGGCGCCUUACGGGAAACCAAAGUGUUUGGGUUC
This 564-nucleotide ribosomal RNA is filed under the name uncultured Glomeromycotina. RNAcentral's name for it is "SSU rRNA". It matches the Rfam family "Eukaryotic small subunit ribosomal RNA", at positions 548 to 1114 of the family's 1831-position model. Lineage: Eukaryota; Fungi; Glomeromycota. The record is from RNAcentral.